This 657-nucleotide ribosomal RNA is filed under the name Triticum aestivum (bread wheat). Its description in RNAcentral is "partial small subunit ribosomal RNA". Lineage: Eukaryota; Viridiplantae; Streptophyta; Magnoliopsida; Poales; Poaceae. The record is from RNAcentral.
AUGGCCGAGGAUACCAAGUUCCUCCUUUUGUUUCUCCUCUUGAGCAGCUCAUCGUUAUGUUUUGGUUCUGAACAAGAUAUCCAGUGCCUGACGUCUGUGCAACAAUCAGUGAUUGAUCCCAACGGUGUACUAAAAUCCUCUUGGAACUUUGAUAAUGACAUUGUUGGUUUCAUAUGCCGCUUUACUGGUGUGGAAUGCUGGCACCCUGACGAGGACAGAGUUCUCUCUCUGCGUCUCGGCAACCUAGGACUUGAAGGCCCAUUUCCUCAUGGUCUUCAAAAUUACACAAGCAUGAGUGGCUUGGACCUGUCGAAUAACAAUUUUUCAGGACCGAUUCCCUCCGGCAUCGGACAGCAGAUACCGUUUGUGACAUCUCUGGAUCUUUCAUACAAUAACUUUUCAGGUGAAAUCUCAGAGAGUAUGGCAAAUUUGGCAUACCUGAACACGUUCAACCUUCAGCAUAACCAACUCAGAGGUCAAAUUCCAGAGCGUUUCAGUGUGCUUGGUCGGUUAACCUCGUUCAAUGUUGCAGACAAUUUGCUCUCAGGGCCUAUCCCCACUUUUGCGCAGGACUUCUCGUCUUUAUACUUUGCCGGGAACCGGGACCUUUGCGGUGCACCAUUAGACGAGUGCCCCGGAGUCGAAGAUGGAGGCUGA